Molecule: ribosomal RNA, 527 nt
Filed under: uncultured eukaryote
Lineage: Eukaryota
Description: bacterial SSU rRNA
Rfam family: Eukaryotic small subunit ribosomal RNA
Source: RNAcentral
AGUCAUAUGCUUGUCUCAAAGAUUAAGCCAUGCAUGUCUCAGUAUCAGCAUUUUCAUCGCUAAACUGCGAAUGGCUCAUUAAAACAGUUAUAGUUUACUUGGUGAUCAAUAGUUAUACGGUUCAUAACUGUGCUAAUUGUAGAGCUGAUACGUGCAUUAAAACCCGACUUUACUGAAGGGUUGUAUUUAUUAGAUACAGAACCAAUUCCUUUCGGGGAUUUUGGAGGAUUCAUGAUAAACGAACGGAGCGAGUGGCAUGAGCCGUCGCUGAACCAUUCAAGUUUCUGACCUAUCAGCUUCCGACGGUAGGGUAUUGGCCUACCGUGGCUUUGACGGGUAACGGGGAGUUAGGGUUCGAUUCCGGAGAGGAAGCCCGAGAAACGGCUACCACAUCUAAGGAAGGCAGCAGGCGCGCAAAUUACCCACUCCUGACACAGGGAGGUAGUGACAAGGAAUAGCAAUGCAGGUGGCAAUUGCCAUUGUGCUAUUGGAAUGAGUGGACUUUAAAUCCCUUUUCGACUAUCGAU